GCAGCAGCCGCGGUAAUACGAAGGGUGCAAGCGUUACUCGGAAUUACUGGGCGUAAAGCGUGCGUAGGUGGUGGUUUAAGUCCGUUGUGAAAGCCCUGGGCUCAACCUGGGAACUGCUUCUGAGACUGAACGACUAGAGUACGGUAGAGGGUGGUGGAAUUUCCGGUGUAGCGGUGAAAUGCGUAGAUAUCGGAAGGAACAUCAAUGGCGAAGGCAGCCACCUGGGCCUGUACUGACACUGAGACACGAAAGCGUGGGGAUCAAACAGGAUUAGAUACCCGAGUAGUCCCUGUCUCUUAUAC
Molecule: ribosomal RNA, 302 nt
Filed under: uncultured bacterium
Lineage: Bacteria
Description: partial 16S ribosomal RNA
Rfam family: Bacterial small subunit ribosomal RNA
Source: RNAcentral